GCGCGGGUGGUGAAAUGGUAUACACGUAGCCUUGAGGUGGCUAUACCCGUAAGGGUGUGGAGGUUCAAGUCCUCUCNNCACA
RNAcentral lists this transfer RNA (82 nucleotides) under Candidatus Kerfeldbacteria bacterium. Its description in RNAcentral is "tRNA-Leu". The stretch from base 7 to 76 matches the Rfam family "tRNA", at positions 7 to 64 of the family's 71-position model. From Rfam's summary of the family: Transfer RNA (tRNA) molecules are approximately 80 nucleotides in length. Their secondary structure includes four short double-helical elements and three loops (D, anti-codon, and T loops). The record is from RNAcentral. Lineage: Bacteria; Candidatus Kerfeldiibacteriota.